AGUGAACGCUGGCGGUAGGCCUAACACAUGCAAGUCGAACGGCAGCACAGUAAGAGCUUGCUCUUACGGGUGGCGAGUGGCGGACGGGUGAGGAAUACAUCGGACUCUACUUUUUCGUGGGGGAUAACGUAGGGAAACUUACGCUAAUACCGCAUACGCCCUACGGGUGAAAGCAGGGGAACUUCGGACCUUGCGCGAUUGAAUGAGCCGAUGUCGGAUUAGCUAGUUGGCGGGGUAAAGGCCCACCAAGGCGACGAUACGUAGCUGGUCUGAGAGGAUGGUCAGCCACACUGGAACUGAGACACGGUCCAGACUCCUACGGGAGGCAGCAGUGGGGAAUAUUAGACAAUGGUCGCAAGCCUGAUCCAGCCAUACCGCGUGGGUGAAGAAGGCCUUCGGGUUGUAAAGCCCUUUUGUUGGGAAAGAAAAGCAGCAGGUUAAUACCCCGCUGUUCUGACGGUACCCAAAGAAUAAGCACCGGCUAACUUCGUG
RNAcentral lists this ribosomal RNA (492 nucleotides) under uncultured bacterium. Its description in RNAcentral is "partial 16S ribosomal RNA". It matches the Rfam family "Bacterial small subunit ribosomal RNA", at positions 29 to 507 of the family's 1533-position model. The record is from RNAcentral.